Molecule: non-coding RNA, 18 nt
Filed under: Arabidopsis thaliana (thale cress)
Lineage: Eukaryota; Viridiplantae; Streptophyta; Magnoliopsida; Brassicales; Brassicaceae
Also listed under: 1 other name
Source: RNAcentral
AAAGUUACCACAGGGAUA